UACGAAGGGGGCUAGCGUUGUUCGGAUUUACUGGGCGUAAAGCGCACGUAGGCGGAUCGUUAAGUCGGGGGUGAAAUCCUGGAGCUCAACUCCAGAACUGCCUUCGAUACUGGCGAUCUCGAGUCCGGAAGAGGUGAGUGGAACUCCUAGUGUAGAGGUGGAAUUCGUAGAUAUUAGGAAGAACACCAGUGGCGAAGGCGACUCACUGGUCCGUACUGACGCUGAGGUGCGAAAGCGUGGGGAGCAAACAGGG
RNAcentral lists this ribosomal RNA (253 nucleotides) under uncultured bacterium. RNAcentral's name for it is "partial 16S ribosomal RNA". It matches the Rfam family "Bacterial small subunit ribosomal RNA", at positions 524 to 777 of the family's 1533-position model. The record is from RNAcentral.